GAUGAACGCUGGCGGCGUGCUUAAUACAUGCAAGUCGGACGGAGGGUAGCAAUACCUUCAGUGGCGAACGGGUGAGUAACGCGUUGGUGACCUGCCCCGGAGAGAGGGAUAACAGGCCGAAAGGCUUGCUAAUACCACAUGCGCAGUUGAGGGAUUAGAAGCUUGACUGCAAAGCAGAAAUGCGCUCUGGGAGGGGCCUGCGACCCAUCAGCUAGUUGGUAAGGUAACGGCCUACCAAGGCGAUGACGGGUAGGGGACCUGAGAGGGUGGCCCCCCACAAUGGAACUGAAACACGGUCCAUACACCUACGGGAGGCUG
This 318-nucleotide ribosomal RNA is filed under the name uncultured Chloroflexota bacterium. RNAcentral describes it as "bacterial SSU rRNA". It matches the Rfam family "Bacterial small subunit ribosomal RNA", at positions 28 to 351 of the family's 1533-position model. The record is from RNAcentral. Lineage: Bacteria; Bacillati; Chloroflexota.